Molecule: ribosomal RNA, 762 nt
Filed under: Sirenophila bermaguiana
Lineage: Eukaryota; Fungi; Ascomycota; Lecanoromycetes; Teloschistales; Teloschistaceae
Description: LSU rRNA
Rfam family: Eukaryotic large subunit ribosomal RNA
Source: RNAcentral
CGGGUGCGGCGCCGGUCUAAGUCCCUUGGAACGGGGCGUCAUAGAGGGUGAGAAUCCCGUAUGUGACCGGUGACCAAGCCUGUGUGAAGCUCCUUCGACGAGUCGAGUUGUUUGGGAAUGCAGCUCAAAAUGGGUGGUAAAUUUCAUCUAAAGCUCAAUACCGGCCAGAGACCGAUAGCGCACAAGUAGAGUGAUCGAAAGAUGAAAAGCACUUUGGAAAGAGAGUCAAAAAGUACGUGAAAUUGUUGAAAGGGAAGCGCUUGCAACCAGACCUGCGCGCGGGUGAUCAGCCGUCCUUAUGGGCGGUGUACGCGCCCGCGAACAGGCCAGCAUCGGUUUUCGCGGCCGGAUAAAGGCCUUGGGAACGUAGCUCCUCUCGGGGAGUGUUAUAGCCCAGGGUGACAUGCGGCCAGCGAGGACCGAGGACCGCGCUUCGGCAAGGAUGCUGGCGUAAUGGUUGUAAGCGGCCCGUCUUGAAACACGGACCAAGGAGUGGAACAUCUAUGCGAGUGUUUGGGUGUCAAACCCAUGCGCGGAAUGAAAGUGAACGGAGGUGGGAACCCGUCCAGGGCGCACCAUCGACCGAUCCAGAUGUCAUCGGAUGGAUUUGAGUACGAGCAUAGCUGUUCCGACCCGAAAGAUGGUGAACUAUGCCUGAAUAGGGUGAAGCCAGAGGAAACUCUGGUGGAGGCUCGCAGCGGUUCUGACGUGCAAAUCGAUCGUCAAAUUUGGGUAUAGGGGCGAAAGACUAAUCGAACCAUC